CUGCUGCCUUCCGUAGGAGUUUGGGCCGUGUCUCAGUCCCAAUGUGGCCGUUCACCCUCUCAGGCCGGGCUACUGAUCGUUGCCUUGGUAGGCCAUUACCCCACCAACUAGCUAAUCAGACGCGGAACCAUCGUAUACCACCAGAGUUUUUCACACCGCUUCAUGCGAAGCUGUGCGCUUAUGCGGUAUUAGCACCUAUUUCUAAGUGUUAUCCCCCAGUAUACGGCAGGUUUUCCACGCGUUACUCACCCGUCCGCCA
RNAcentral lists this ribosomal RNA (259 nucleotides) under uncultured bacterium. RNAcentral describes it as "partial 16S ribosomal RNA". The record is from RNAcentral.